GCAUUGGUGGUUCAGUGGUAGAAUUCUUGCCUUCCAUGUUUUUUAUGUAACAGACCCGAGUUCGAUUCCAGCUAAUGCA
RNAcentral lists this transfer RNA (79 nucleotides) under Loxodonta africana (African savanna elephant). It matches the Rfam family "tRNA". From Rfam's summary of the family: Transfer RNA (tRNA) molecules are approximately 80 nucleotides in length. Their secondary structure includes four short double-helical elements and three loops (D, anti-codon, and T loops). The record is from Rfam by way of RNAcentral. Lineage: Eukaryota; Metazoa; Chordata; Mammalia; Proboscidea; Elephantidae.